This 453-nucleotide ribosomal RNA is filed under the name uncultured bacterium. RNAcentral's name for it is "partial 16S ribosomal RNA". It matches the Rfam family "Bacterial small subunit ribosomal RNA", at positions 28 to 523 of the family's 1533-position model. The record is from RNAcentral.
GAUGAACGCUGGCGGCGUGCCUAAUACAUGCAAGUCGAGCGGUAACACUUCGGGUGACGAGCGGCGGACGGCUGAGUAACACGUAGGAAUCUACCCCAGACUGAGGGAUAAGCACCGGAAACGGUGUCUAAUACCGCAUACGCUCUAAGGAGUAAAGCUUCGGCGGUUUGGGAAGAGCCUGCGCAUGAUUAGCUUGUUGGUAAGGUAAUGGCUUACCAAGGCGACGAUCAUUAGCUGGUCUGAGAGGAUGAUCAGCCAGACUGGGACUGAGACACGGCCCAGACUCCUACGGGAGGCAGCAGUAGGGAAUUUUCCACAAUGGGCGAAAGCCUGAUGGAGCAACGCCGCGUGCAGGAUGAAGGCCUUCGGGUUGUAAACUGCUUUUAUAUGUGAAGAUUAUGACGGUAGCAUAUGAAUAAGGAUCGGCUAACUCCGUGCCAGCAGCCGCGGUAA